This 72-nucleotide transfer RNA is filed under the name Streptococcus sp. C150. Its description in RNAcentral is "tRNA-Pro". It matches the Rfam family "tRNA". Rfam says of the family: Transfer RNA (tRNA) molecules are approximately 80 nucleotides in length. Their secondary structure includes four short double-helical elements and three loops (D, anti-codon, and T loops). Lineage: Bacteria; Bacillati; Bacillota; Bacilli; Lactobacillales; Streptococcaceae. The record is from RNAcentral.
CGGGAAGUAGCUCGUUGGUAGAGCACUUGGUUUGGGACCAAGGGGUCGCAGGUUCGAAUCCUGUCUUCCCGA